Long non-coding RNA from Salvia splendens (bonfire salvia), 344 nucleotides. RefSeq lists it as uncharacterized. Lineage: Eukaryota; Viridiplantae; Streptophyta; Magnoliopsida; Lamiales; Lamiaceae. The record is from RefSeq and is a predicted model, not a curated record. The transcript is spliced from 3 exons.
UCUCCAUGUUUCCAACUUCUUAACCUUCCCUCUUCCACCAUUAAUUCUACCACCCAAGAGUCACACAAGUUAAUACAUUAGCCCCUUCAAUCCUUUUCUCACAUUAUACUUCACAACAAGAAAAAAAGGAGAGAGGGUGCCGAGAAGUGGAGAGAGCCGAGAGAGAAGGAAGAGACCUUGCUACCAUUCUUGCUCCUCCAUCACCAAGUUCAAUCCUUUUGAGGUGGUUCGCACGCUCGUUAAAGUCGGAUCAAGAAGUUUGUUAAGGAAACUACUAAGCUUUCGAGGUUAAGCGUGGACGGGAGACGGAGGAUGUUGAGCAUUGGACCGAGACCAUAUUCAAU